AUGCCUUACACAUGCAAGUCGAACGGCAGCACGGGAGCAAUCCUGGUGGCGAGUGGCGAACGGGUGAGUAAUACAUCGGAACGUGCCCUGUCGUGGGGGAUAACUAGUCGAAAGAUUAGCUAAUACCGCAUACGACCUGAGGGUGAAAGCGGGGGACCGUAAGGCCUCGCGCGAUAGGAGCGGCCGAUGUCUGAUUAGCUAGUUGGUGGGGUAAAGGCCCACCAAGGCGACGAUCAGUAGCUGGUCUGAGAGGACGAUCAGCCACACUGGGACUGAGACACGGCCCAGACUCCUACGGGAGGCAGCAGUGGGGAAUUUUGGACAAUGGGGGCAACCCUGAUCCAGCAAUGCCGCGUGUGUGAAGAAGGCCUUCGGGUUGUAAAGCACUUUUGUCCGGAAAGAAAUCCCUUGCCCUAAUACGGCGGGGGGAUGACGGUACCGGAAGAAUAAGCACCGGCUAACUACGUGCCAGCAGCCGCGGUAAUACGUAGGGUGCGAGCGUUAAUCGGAAUUACUGGGCGUAAAGCGUGCGCAGGCGGUUUUGUAA
Molecule: ribosomal RNA, 547 nt
Filed under: PAH-contaminated sludge bacterium PB-16
Lineage: Bacteria; Pseudomonadati; Pseudomonadota; Betaproteobacteria; Burkholderiales; Burkholderiaceae
Description: bacterial SSU rRNA
Rfam family: Bacterial small subunit ribosomal RNA
Source: RNAcentral